Molecule: ribosomal RNA, 17 nt
Filed under: Exophiala sp. SL-2015c
Lineage: Eukaryota; Fungi; Ascomycota; Eurotiomycetes; Chaetothyriales; Herpotrichiellaceae
Description: partial small subunit ribosomal RNA
Source: RNAcentral
GUACCAUGUGUUGCUUC